This 460-nucleotide ribosomal RNA is filed under the name uncultured bacterium. RNAcentral describes it as "partial 16S ribosomal RNA". It matches the Rfam family "Bacterial small subunit ribosomal RNA", at positions 338 to 795 of the family's 1533-position model. The record is from RNAcentral.
CCUACGGGAGGCAGCAGUGAGGAAUAUUGGUCAAUGGACGAGAGUCUGAACCAGCCAAGUAGCGUGAAGGAUGACUGCCCUAUGGGUUGUAAACUUCUUUUAUAUGGGAAUAAAACGUUCCACGUGUGGGAUUUUGUAUGUACCAUAUGAAUAAGGGUAGGCUAACUCCGUGCCAGCAGCCGAGGUAAUACGGAGGGUCCGGGCGUUAUCCGGAUUUAUUGGGUUUAAAGGGAGCGUAGGUGGGUUGUUAAGUCAGUUGUGAAAGUUUGCGGCUCAACCGUAAAAUUGCAGUUGAAACUGGCAGUCUUGAGUACAGGAGAGGUGGGCGGAAUUCGUGGUGUAGCGGUGAAAUGCUUAGAUAUCACGAAGAACUCCGAUUGCGAAGGCAGUUCACUGGACUGCAACUGACACUGAGGCUCGAAAGUGUGGGUAUCAAACAGGAUUAGAUACCCCGGUAGUC